UAGCAUGCAUUGUGUACAGUAAUAAUGAUUGUACUAUAGACAGUUCAAAUAGGGAGAUGGUGAUGUUGGUGAUAGUGUGUGAUCAUGAGGCUACAACCAUUACACAAUAAUCAUUAUACUUUGCAUUCAGUUGGGUAUAUCCAUUGUUGAACACACACAAUCACAUGUACCACAUAAUAUUUAGACACUAGUUGAUAAGAUUUGAUAAGUGAAAAGUGUCUCAAGUAUAAAUUAUAGACUCUGUUUUGUCAGUUUGUCAGUGUCCAUAAUUUAGAAGCCCUCAGGCUACGCUCGGGAUACUAAAGCAGUACUGGCCUUUGAGCUUCUAAAUUCCAUAUUGAUUAUAGACACCUCCAAAACAGUGUCUAUAAUUACAUAGCGUGUACACGUACAAACAAUGCUAAUAACUUGUUUGAUGUGUCAGGAUCAACGGACUGCUCUGAUGUUGGCGCCUGCAGUGGUUCUCUGGAGAUGGUCUCUCUGUUCCUGGAGAAAGGUGCCGACGUUAUAACCUCUGGGACAAGGUGGGCUCCUCGGCACUCAUGUUUGCUGGUCAAAGUGGUCAUACAGAGAUAGUGGGGUCACUUCUCACACACCCUCACACAGAUCACAGUCUCAGGGACAAUGACGGCCUAACAGCUCUGGACAUUGCUAAAGAGGCGGGGUUCACUGAACUGGCGUUGCAUGCUGGGGAAACACUCCAAAUCAAAAUAUAAACGAUGACAACAGUCUCUAGGAUUGUAGAUUUUAUCAAUGAUCAUGUGCCCAUUUUUUGUAUCUCUUUUAUCAUUCUGUGUUGAGUCUUGUCAGGCACUCCUGAAAUGGUUCCUAUAAGGUG
Molecule: long non-coding RNA, 838 nt
Organism: Halichondria panicea
Lineage: Eukaryota; Metazoa; Porifera; Demospongiae; Suberitida; Halichondriidae
Exons: 3
Source: RefSeq, a predicted model, not a curated record